AGUGAACGCUGGCGGCAGGCCUAAUACAUGCAAGUCGAACGGCAGCACAGCAGAGCUUGCUCUGUGGGUGGCGAGUGGCGGACGGGUGAGGAAUACGUGGGAAUCUGCCCAGUCGUGGGGAUAACGUAGGGAAACUUACGCUAAUACCGCAUGCGCCCUUCGGGGGAAAGCCGGGGACCUUCGGGCCUGGCGCGAUUGGAUGAGCCCACGUCGGAUUAGCUAGUUGGCGGGGUAAAGGCCCACCAAGGCGACGAUCCGUAGCUGGUCUGAGAGGAUGAUCAGCCACACUGGAACUGAGACACGGUCCAGACUCCUACGGGAGGCAGCAGUAGGGAAUAUUGGACAAUGGGCGCAAGCCUGAUCCAGCCAUGCCGCGUGAGUGAAGAAGGCCCUCGGGUUGUAAAGCUCUUUGUCCGGAAAGAAAAGCGCCGGGUUAAUACCCUGGUGUCCUGACGGUACCGGAAGAAUAAGCACCGGCUAACUUCGUGCCAGCAGCCGCGGUAAU
This 505-nucleotide ribosomal RNA is filed under the name uncultured bacterium. RNAcentral describes it as "bacterial SSU rRNA". It matches the Rfam family "Bacterial small subunit ribosomal RNA", at positions 29 to 524 of the family's 1533-position model. The record is from RNAcentral.